RNAcentral lists this ribosomal RNA (465 nucleotides) under uncultured bacterium. RNAcentral's name for it is "partial 16S ribosomal RNA". It matches the Rfam family "Bacterial small subunit ribosomal RNA", at positions 338 to 795 of the family's 1533-position model. The record is from RNAcentral.
CCUACGGGGGGCUGCAGUAGGGAAUCUUCCACAAUGGGCGAAAGCCUGAUGGAGCAACGCCGCGUGGGUGAAGAAGGUCUUCGGAUCGUAAAACCCUGUUGUUAGAGGAGAAAGUGCGUGAGAGUAACUGUUCACGUUUCGAUGGUAUCUAACCAGAAAGCCACGGCUAACUACGUGCCAGCAGCCGCGGUAAUACGUAGGUGGCAAGCGUUAUCCGGUUUUAUUGGGCGUAAAGGGAACGCAGGCGGUCUUUUAAGUCUGAUGUGAAAGCCUUCGGCUUAACCGGAGUAGUGCAUUGGAAACUGGGAGACGUGAGUGCAGAAGAGGAGAGUGGAACUCCAGGUGUAGCGGUGAAAUGCGUAGAUAUAUGGAAGAACACCAGUGGCGAAAGCGGCUCUCUGGUCUGUAACUGACGCUGAGGUUCGAAAGCGUGGGUAGCAAACAGGAUUAGAUACCCCAGUAGUC